This is an RNA transcript of Heterocephalus glaber (naked mole-rat), 1207 nucleotides long. RefSeq lists it as uncharacterized. Lineage: Eukaryota; Metazoa; Chordata; Mammalia; Rodentia; Bathyergidae. The record is from RefSeq and is a predicted model, not a curated record.
CUGGGCGCGCUGGGUCGCUCGCUCUGGCGCCAGCCUCUCCCCGUGCUCCACUCCUUUCUCUCGACGAGGCUGGGCCGGCCUGCAUCACCGUGACCUCACCUCCAUUCAGGGCGCUUAUCCGGCGCCCGCCCGAGCUCCAGGCAAGGAGUCUCUGCACUGGCUUGACGCCCAUGCCCCCGGACUGCUUAGAGGUGUGCACUGGCAUUGGGAACCAGUGAGGCCAGGCUGGAAAGAAUCGGUGAAAUCGGCUAGAAGCAAAGGAAGAAGAAACAGGCAAAACACCACAGGGUGAUACCCCUGUGAAGGGCUCUGACCAGGUGGAUGGACCAGGCUGGCCACUGUUUGGAGAACAGUGGACUUUGGAGGAUGAGCAGAAGGGGACCAAGGGCUACACCUGGCCAGCAGAGUCAUCAGGCAGCUACAAGCACACCUGGAGGUUCUUUGCAUCCAAUUUUCAUAGGCGAUAUUGCUCAUUCAAAGGCCUGCAAGCAGCACCCUGGCUCCUUCCCUGUCCUUGGACCUGCUCUGGCAUGAAAUGUGAUCCAAAAAGGCCCUCAGAGAAAGCCCAGCCCGCUGUCGACCUGCUUUUGUGCACCUUCCAAACAGCUCUCCUGCAGGGCAUCAGGAGCUGUUUUCCCCGUGCCAGGACCGAACUACAUUCUGACCCCACUGACCCCACUGGCUGCCCUCCCUGCCCUCAACACAGGGUACACAGCCAGCUGUGGACAAGGCACCGAUACUAAUGGCCUGUGCUAGGUAGGAAUUCUAGAAAUUCUAUUCUUUCUUUCUUCAUUUCUUUUCUUUUUUUUAUGGAGUCUCACUGAGUUGCCCAGGCUGGCCUCAAACUUACAGUCGUUCCUGCCUCACCCACCCGAAUAGUGGGAUUAUAGGGAUGCACCGUUAUGCUCAGCUUUGGCAGUGGUACAGAUUCUAAAUUCACAGGACUUCUGCCUACCUCAGCUUUCUGCUCUUGGGAUUCAGUUAGAAUAGGAGCACUGUUCAGGGAGUCGAGAUCUAGGUUCAGGACUCAGCCUGCCCUGGAGUCACUGGGGUGUGUAGCUCUUUUCACCCUCUUGAACCACUUUCUGACCCAUCUAACAACAAUAAACAGAACUGUUAGAAGUUAUACACUAACUUCUUGAUCCCUCCCAACAUUCUUUUUUUGUUUGUUUGUUUUGGUACUGGGAAUCUAACUCCCGACCUUGUG